Molecule: ribosomal RNA, 377 nt
Filed under: uncultured organism
Description: partial 16S ribosomal RNA
Rfam family: Bacterial small subunit ribosomal RNA
Source: RNAcentral
AGAGGGGUGCGAGCGUUAAUCGGAAUUACUGGGCGUAAAGGGCACGUAGGGUGGAUAAAUAAGUUGGGCUGUGAAAGACCCCCGGGGCUCAACCUGGGAUGGUCAGCCAAUACUGUUUAUCUAGAGUACAGUAGAGGGAAGUGGAAUUUCCGGUGUAGCGGUGAAAUGCGUAGAUAUCGGAAGGAACACCAGUGGCGAAGGCGGCUUUCUGGACUGAUACUGACACUGAGGUGCGAAAGCGUGGGGAGCGAACAGGAUUAGAUACCCUGGUAGUCCACGCCGUAAACGAUGAGAACUAGCCGUUGGGAAGUAUAUCGUUUUUAGUGGCGCAGCAAACGCGAUAAGUUCUCCGCCUGGGGAGUACGGCCGCAAGGUUA